UACGUAGGGUGCGAGCGUUUAAUCGGAAUUACUGGGCGUAAAGCGUGCGCAGGCGGUUUUGUAAGCCAGAUGUGAAAGCCCCGGGCUUAACCUGGGAAUGGCAUUUGGGACUGCAAGGCUGGAGUACGGCAGAGGGAGGUGGAAUCCAGGUGUAGCAAGUGAAAUGCGUAGAUAUCUGGAGGAACACCGAUGGCGAAGGCAGCCUCCUGGGCUAGUACUGACGCUCAUGCACGAAAGCGUGGGGAGCAAAC
This 251-nucleotide ribosomal RNA is filed under the name uncultured bacterium. Its description in RNAcentral is "partial 16S ribosomal RNA". It matches the Rfam family "Bacterial small subunit ribosomal RNA", at positions 524 to 773 of the family's 1533-position model. The record is from RNAcentral.